UGGGGAAUCUUGCGCAAUGGGCGAAAGCCUGACGCAGCGAUGCCGCGUGCGGGAUGAAGGCCUUCGGGUUGUAAACCGCUUUCAGCAGGGACGAAAUUGACGGUACCUGCAGAAGAAGCCCCGGCCAACUACGUGCCAGCAGCCGCGGUAAUACGUAGGGGGCGAGCGUUGUCCGGAUUUAUUGGGCGUAAAGAGCUCGUAGGCGGUUCGGUAAGUCGGAUGUGAAAUCUCCACGCUCAACGUGGAGAGGCCAUUCGAUACUGCCGUGACUCGAGUCCGGUAGGGGAGUGUGGAAUUCCCGGUGUAGCGGUGAAAUGCGCAGAGAUCGGGAGGAACACCCGUAGCGAAGGCGGCACUCUGGGCCGGUACUGACGCUGAGGAGCGAAAGCGUGGGGAGCAAACAGGAUUAGAUACCCUGGUAGUCCACGCCGUAAACGUUGGGCACUAGGUGUGGGACUCUAUCGACGGGUUCCGUGCCGUAGCUAACGCAUUAAGUGCCCCGCC
This 504-nucleotide ribosomal RNA is filed under the name uncultured Actinomycetes bacterium. RNAcentral's name for it is "bacterial SSU rRNA". It matches the Rfam family "Bacterial small subunit ribosomal RNA", at positions 355 to 873 of the family's 1533-position model. The record is from RNAcentral. Lineage: Bacteria; Bacillati; Actinomycetota; Actinomycetes.